AGCUCCAAUAGCGUAUAUUAAAGUUGUUGCAGUUAAAACGCUCGUAGUCGGAUUUCGGGGCGGGGCCGCCGGUCUGCCGAUGGGUAUGCACUGGUAGACCCGUCCUUUCUUCCGGAAGCUGACCCUUGUCUUAACUGAUUGGGGUCGGAGGCCGGGACGUUUACUUUGAAAAAUCAGAGUGUUUCAAGCAGGCAUUUCGCUUUUGCAUGGAUUAGCAUGGGAUAAUGAAAUAGGACUUUG
RNAcentral lists this ribosomal RNA (240 nucleotides) under uncultured eukaryote. Its description in RNAcentral is "partial small subunit ribosomal RNA". It matches the Rfam family "Eukaryotic small subunit ribosomal RNA", at positions 587 to 832 of the family's 1831-position model. The record is from RNAcentral.